UGGGGAAUCUUGGACAAUGGGGGCAACCCUGAUCCAGCCAUGCCGCGUGAGUGAUGAAGGCCUUAGGGUCGUAAAGCUCUUUCGCCUGUGAAGAUAAUGACGGUAGCAGGUAAAGAAACCCCGGCUAACUCCGUGCCAGCAGCCGCGGUAAUACGGAGGGGGUUAGCGUUGUUCGGAAUUACUGGGCGUAAAGCGCACGUAGGCGGACCAGAAAGUUGGGGGUGAAAUCCCGGGGGCUCAACCCCGGAACUGCCUCCAAAACUAUUGGUCUAGAGUUCGAGAGAGGUGAGUGGAAUUCCAAGUGUAGAGGUGAAAUUCGUAGAUAUUCGGAGGAACACCAGUGGCAAGGCGCCUAAACUGGUCCGGUACUGACGCUGAGGAACCGAAAAGCGUGGGGGAAGCAAACAGGAUUAGAUACCCUGGUAGUCCACGCCGUAAAACGAUGUCAAACUAGCCGUUGGGGAACUUGA
RNAcentral lists this ribosomal RNA (470 nucleotides) under uncultured bacterium. Its description in RNAcentral is "bacterial SSU rRNA". It matches the Rfam family "Bacterial small subunit ribosomal RNA", at positions 355 to 835 of the family's 1533-position model. The record is from RNAcentral.